GAUGAACGCUGGCGGCGUGCCUAAUACAUGCAAGUCGAGCGAACAGACGAGGAGCUUGCUCCUCUGUCGUUAGCGGCGGACGGGUGAGUAACACGUGGAUAACCUACCUAUAAGACUGGGAUAACUUCGGGAAACCGGAGCUAAUACCGGAUAAUAUAUUGAACCGCAUGGUUCAAUAGUGAAAGACGGUUUUGCUGUCACUUAUAGAUGGAUCCGCGCCGCAUUAGCUAGUUGGUAAGGUAACGGCUUACCAAGGCAACGAUGCUUAGCCGACCUGAGAGGUUGAUCGGCCACACUGGAACUGAGACACGGUCCAGACUCCUACGGGAGGCAGCAGUAGGGAAUCUUCCGCAAUGGGCAAAAGCCUGACGGAGCAACGCCGCGUGAGUGAUGAAGGUCUUCGGAUCGUAAAACUCUGUUAUUAGGGAAGAACAAAUGUGUAAGUAACUAUGCACGUCUUGACGGUACCUAAUCAGAAAGCCACGGCUAACUACGUG
RNAcentral lists this ribosomal RNA (497 nucleotides) under uncultured bacterium. Its description in RNAcentral is "partial 16S ribosomal RNA". It matches the Rfam family "Bacterial small subunit ribosomal RNA", at positions 28 to 507 of the family's 1533-position model. The record is from RNAcentral.